AAUACGGCUGCGAACCAGACAAAGUCCUGCCUGCAUGGAGCUUACAGUGUGAUGGACGGCUCUGGCGACAGGGACCAACAAAGCAAUGCAAAAGAUCAGGGGGGCCCAGUGCUCUGAUGGAAACCACAGUGGGGAACCUUCCAUGCAGGUAGUCUGGGGUGAUGGAAUGUCACAGAAGAGAGAUGCCCAGCAAGGCCGGAGCAGAGGCCCACGGCACGGCCAGACACUGGGAUGAGCUGGGGAGGUGGCCUGCUCAAAACUGAGACUUGAGAAGAAUCUCUCUUAAAAGAGAGGCCCAAUCUUCCUCGGCUAUGGGGGCGCAGAGGAGGGGUGACAGCUAGCUGAAGG
Long non-coding RNA from Prionailurus viverrinus (fishing cat), 348 nucleotides. RefSeq lists it as uncharacterized. The record is from RefSeq and is a predicted model, not a curated record. The transcript has 3 exons. NCBI's taxonomy places the organism in Eukaryota, Metazoa, Chordata, Mammalia, Carnivora, Felidae.